GUUCAGCCGGGAGCAGAGCGAACCGCACCGGCCCGAGCGGAGCGCCGCACGUUCCCAACCGCGAGGCCAGACAUCUGACUGUUGGUGUGAGACCAGUGCUCCUGGUGGUGUGCCCUGAGCCAUGGAGGCGCCUUUGCAGACAGAGAUGGUGGAGCUGGUGCCCAAUGGCAAACACUCAGAGGGGCUGCUCCCGGUCAUCACCCCCAUGGCAGGCAACCAGAGGUCGAGGACCCUGCACGGAGCUGUAUGGAGGGCAAGAGCUUCCUACAGAAAAGUCCCAGCAAGGAGCCACACUUCACUGACUUCGAGGGGAAGACAUCAUUCGGGAUGUCAGUGUUCAACCUCAGCAAUGCCAUCAUGGGCAGCGGCAUCCUGGGACUCGCCUAUGCCAUGGCCAAUACGGGCAUUAUCCUUUUCCUGUGAGUGCCCUCAGAGAAACUUCUAAAGAUAGGGGCCCUAAGCAAGCCACCAAUCAUGACCUCCCAGGACCCGCCAGUUCCCUGUCCCAGCAUCCAGGCUGCAGUGGGUGGGCACUUCUUACACUAACAAACCGCGGCUGAAAAAA
Molecule: long non-coding RNA, 565 nt
Filed under: Homo sapiens (human)
Lineage: Eukaryota; Metazoa; Chordata; Mammalia; Primates; Hominidae
Description: long non-coding RNA NONHSAT089797.2
Source: RNAcentral